RNAcentral lists this ribosomal RNA (424 nucleotides) under uncultured prokaryote. RNAcentral describes it as "bacterial SSU rRNA". It matches the Rfam family "Bacterial small subunit ribosomal RNA", at positions 355 to 796 of the family's 1533-position model. The record is from RNAcentral.
UGGGGAAUAUUGGGCAAUGGGCGAAAGCCUGACCCAGCCAUGCCGCGUGAGUGAUGAAGGCCUUAGGGUUGUAAAGCUCUUUCACCGACGAGGAUAAUGACGGUAGUCGGAGAAGAAGCCCCGGCUAACUUCGUGCCAGCAGCCGCGGUAAUACGAAGGGGGCUAGCGUUGUUCGGAAUCACUGGGCGUAAAGAGCGUGUAGGUGGAUAUGCAAGCUAGAGGUGAAAGCCCAGGGCUCAACCCUGGAACUGCCUUUAGAACUGCAUAUCUGGAGUCUUGGAGGGGAGUGCGGAAUUCCUAAUGUAGAGGUGAAAUUCGUAGAUAUUAGGAGGAACACCGGUGGCGAAGGCGGCACUCUGGACAAGUACUGACACUGAGACGCGAAAGCGUGGGGAGCAAACAGGAUUAGAUACCCCCGUAGUCC